UCAGUCAGGUGCUCCUUCAGGGAUAUAUGGUGCUGGUGUUGGUUUGGUAGUUUGGGCUGUAACUGUGUUUUUUGCUGAAAGAUUUGUGGACAACGAAAUCAAAGGUAUUUCAGUGAAAAUAAAGUGAAUCACUCUCAGGAUCAGCAUGGAAAAAAUGAAGAGAAACAACAGUUCAUAAUCACUGUAACAAUAUAAACUUCGGCCUUGCAUGACAUGCCAAUCAGUUUUAAUUUGUUUGUUUUAUGGAUACAUUUUGACAUAUUUUGAUUUUUUUGUCUCAUGCUUGACUACCCGAACAAAAAAAGGAAAAUUUAAAAUAAAUCAACAUAUUUCAAAAAUUUUCACUUGUUUGAAAUUUGUGUUUUAGUUUAAUUGUAAGGGUUCUUGGGAUGCCAUUCAUGUGAAAGAUUGUUUAUCCAGUGCUUAUACAGAUCUAUGUACAAAUACAGAAUAAAGCCAAUCAAACUUGA
Long non-coding RNA from Carassius auratus (goldfish), 470 nucleotides. RefSeq lists it as uncharacterized. The record is from RefSeq and is a predicted model, not a curated record. Lineage: Eukaryota; Metazoa; Chordata; Actinopteri; Cypriniformes; Cyprinidae. The transcript has 2 exons.